GUCUAUGCAUUCUCUUUCCCCAUAAAACAUAAACAACACUUUCCCGAGAAACAAACAAAACAAAGCUUUCAUUUUCCUUCCCAAACCAGCCAUGGCGCGAUCUUUCAAUCCCCAAACUCUGAUCUACACAUCUCCGCGGCCUCCGGUGAACUUCCCCUCCGACCAUCACCACUCCCUCACCUCCUUCCUCUUCCAAUCCUCCUCCUCUUUCCCUCACAACACUGCUCUGAUCGACGACGAUUCCGGCGAGACUCUGACCUUUCUCGAGCUCAAAACCCUAGUGUCCAACCUCUCCCACGCCCUGCGCAACGCCAUGGGAAUCAAGAAAGGCGAUGUCGUCCUCAUCGUCGCCGCGAACUCGAUCCGAUACCCCAUCUGCUUCUUCGCGAUCGCCGCUCUCGGCGCCAUUACCACCACCUGUAACCCCGCCUACACCUUCUUCGAGCUCUCGAAGCAAGUCAAGGACUGCAAUCCCAAGCUCGUCAUCACCGUCCCCGAACUGUACGAGAAAACCGCUAAAUUCAACUUGCCGGCGAUAAUUCUAGACUCCUCCAAAUCUUCCGAAAUUGUUCCGAACUCCAGAGUCUGGAGUUUCUCCGAUUUGAUCAAAACUACAGCGUUUUCAGACCGAUUAUCUAAUUUGCCGGCGAGCGACGUCACGCAGUCUGACGUGGCGGCGCUGAUGUACUCGUCCGGCACGACGGGGACGAGCAAGGGAGUGAUUCUGACGCAUCGGAACUUCAUUACGACGUCGUUGAUGGUAACCGCCGAUCAGGACUGGUACGGAGAGCCGAAUAACGUUUUCCUCUGCUUCGUGCCGAUGUUUCACAUUUUCGGGCUUUCGGUGAUCGCGUAUUCGCAGCUCCGGCGAGGGAACACGUUCGUCUCCAUGGCAAAGUUUGAGCUCGAGAAGGUUCUGAGGGCUGUGGAGAAGUACAGAGUGACGCAUCUGUAUCUUGUUCCGCCGGUUGUGAUUGCGCUGGCGAAGCAGAUCGGCGUCGUAAGGAAAUAUGACUUGUCGUCGUUGAAGAACAUCUUGUCCGGCGCAUCGCCGUUGGCGAAAGACGUGAUGGAGGGUUGCGCGAAGAACGUCCCGAAUGCUUUGGUCAUGCAGGGAUACGGUAUGACAGAGAGUUGUGGGAUUAUUUCGACGGAGAACAGCUGGGAAGGGACUCGCUUUUCGGGUUCAACUGGGAUUCUUGCUCCUGGAAUUGAAGCACAGAUAAUCAGUGUAGAAACAAUGAAGCCUCUUCCACCAAAUCAGCUGGGAGAGAUAUGCUUUAGAGGACCUAAUAUGAUGCAAGGAUACUACAACAGUCCACAGGCGACAAAGUCGGCCAUAGACAAGCAAGGUUGGGUACACACGGGAGAUCUUGGAUACUUUGAUGAAGAGGGACAACUGUUUGUUGUGGACAGGAUUAAAGACCUCAUCAAGUGCUAUGGUUACCAGGUGGCCCCAGCUGAGCUUGAAGGAUUGUUGCUUUCUCACCCUGAAAUAUUGGAAGCAGUCGUGAUUCCAUUCCCCGAUGAGAAAGCUGGUGAGGUCCCCAUUGCAUUCAUCGUUCGCUCGCCCAACAGCUCUCUAACCGAACAAGGUGUUCAGAGAUUUGUUGAGAAACAGGUUGCACCAUUCAAAAGAUUGCGGAGAGUGACCUUUGUAAGCAGUGUUCCCAAGUCAGCUUCAGGAAAGACUUUGAGAAGAGAACUUGUUCAAAAAGUCCGGUCCAAUAUAUGAAACCCCAAAAGCUAAUGUUAUUAUUGGGCCAUCUACUUCCACAAAAUUCACUGUUGGAUUGCUCAUCUCUAUAUACCCGGUCCAUAAAAUUUGGGCCACCAUCAACCGCACUUGUUGAUCAAUUUGGAAGAAUUGAUCAGUCUUCUUAUGUGAAACUUGAAAAGUUCUCACAAAAUAUCACAUCUCAACUCGAAUUGAAAACUCAAAUCCGUGAAGUGAACGAGGUCUGCAUCUCACAACAGGAGGAAUACCAUUUACUGGUAAAAUUAUUUAUCGGUCAAUAAUUGACUUGGAAUUAUGGGGAGAAUAAUUGCAUAGAUCUUCAAUUUAUGUAAAAGUUAAUUCUCUGUUCAAUAAUUCACAUCACUUUUUACGACCUACUUUGUGCAAUGGACCUCAUCUAUUGUUUGCAUUUUAGGUAGCAAACAGUCAUCCAGCUAACGAUUGCAGUACUAUUUGGGAAUAAUAUAAGUGGAUGAAAUUCACUCAUUU
RNA transcript from Morus notabilis, 2227 nucleotides. It is a transcript of the gene named 4-coumarate--CoA ligase-like 7, with no coding region annotated. The transcript is spliced from 7 exons. The record is from RefSeq and is a predicted model, not a curated record. Lineage: Eukaryota; Viridiplantae; Streptophyta; Magnoliopsida; Rosales; Moraceae.